This is a long non-coding RNA of Haliotis rubra (blacklip abalone), 136 nucleotides long. RefSeq lists it as uncharacterized. Lineage: Eukaryota; Metazoa; Mollusca; Gastropoda; Lepetellida; Haliotidae. The record is from RefSeq and is a predicted model, not a curated record. The transcript has 4 exons.
AGCGUGAAGGCAAGAUCUGGAGAAGCAAGGUUCGCGAGAAGGCAAGGUUCGUGAAGGGAAGGUUCGCGAAAGGAAGUUUCAAGAAGAGGCAACGCAGACAUCUACAGGGUUUGUGAACCCUCAGAUCAACAAGCGA